Molecule: long non-coding RNA, 5717 nt
Filed under: Solanum tuberosum (potato)
Lineage: Eukaryota; Viridiplantae; Streptophyta; Magnoliopsida; Solanales; Solanaceae
Description: long non-coding RNA (STUB_LNC008638)
Source: RNAcentral
AAACUUCCGCCUCAUUCUCACUUUCCUUUUAUCCUUGUCGUCCAUAUGCUCCCAUCCGGCGGCCGUUAGAACCUCCAGCUUCGCCGUCUUCUCCUAUGGGUUUGGUUCCUUCUUGCUCCACCCUUCCUCCACUUUCUGCCGCUCACACAAAAGAAUUCACUACUAAAAGGUAACUCUUCUCCCUUCCUUUAUUUUGCCUUAUUUUCCAUUUCUUGAUAUUUAAUCAGUGGUUGUCUUUGUUUAUGAAGUACUGUGAAGUCCACCAGUGUGGGGAAAUCUUGGAGGUAGCUAUCCGGAGUGUGCAAUAUGAACACAGGUUCCUCCUCUCCUUCUUUAGUAUUGCACUUUCCCCCCUUUAGAUAUGACCAUGCUUUCUUUUCUUUCUCUCCUUUUGAACUGUUCGAGUUGAAUUUGUGCUUCAAGCACACGUUUACUUUGGUUCGAGCUGACCUCCAUGCUUUCUUGUUAUAGAUGAUGUUUUACCCCUGCCUGUUUGGUGAAAGUUUUUGCGUGCUAAUGUAGAUUAGUAAAAGCUUUGUUAAUGUAGCUAUAAUGACCCCCACCCCCUUAUGUGGGCAUUCUCUUAUGUAAUUAUUUAUGUUGCACCCCUUCCUUUCCAGAUUAAGAACUUGAUUCUGAUUUGUCAUGUGGUUUUUAUCCUGAUGGAUGACAUCUGUGCUUUAUCAAUAUUAAUGAUGUGCUUUCUUGUUGUUGUUAAUUCCGCAAACUCUCUGAAUUCCUUUUUGUCUGUGCUAAUGAUAGCUGGAUUAGCUAAAUAAUCCGCCAUUUGAUUGCCCUCCCUGAAAAUAUAUUGAACUGUAACAUUUUGUUGUUGUACUUCUCUGAUUAUUUCAUCCAUGAUUUCUGCAAUUUCCCAUGGUACUCUCCGUGUCUGUUGAAUAAUGUUCUUUAGAGUGAGUGAAUCCAUUUUAAUAACCAUGUUCUGUAAACUAUUCAUUGCACUAAACCUUAAGGCCUCUUGUAUUGCUCUUGCCUCCGCUUCUAUAUUCAUAGCAAUACUAAUUCCGUUUGCAUAGAUGAGGUCUCCAGUUUUGUUUCUUAUGCAGAAACCAUACGCACUCUCCCCUGGAUUUCCUUUACUUGCACCAUAUGUAUUACACUUCAAUUGAUCUUUCUUUGGUAGCUUCCAUUUUACAAUCUGGUCGUAAAUCCUUGACUUAUAAGCUCAUAUUAUUUUCACCAUUUCAGGCCAAGAUUUCCCAGUUAUUUUGAACUUUUAAUUGUUAACUAUCACCAUCAAUUAAAUGCUCCUUCCCACUUGUUGUAACAACUCUUCAAAGGUGGACUGACCUCCAUGCUUGAUAUGGUUCCUUUUCUUCAACAAAUUCCACAUAAUGAGAGCUGGCAUAACUCUAAAGAUAUGUUUGAGUUUUGUAGGAGCUUCCACAUACCACUAGCUCUUGAUCAUCUACAUCAAAUUUCUGCCUCCUGUGUCCAAACCUGCUCAUGAAGCAAAAUACUUCCAAAGCUUUUGGGCAAUGUUAGAUGUUAGAAAAAGAUUUGACAUUGUUUCCAUUUGUUGUGUCUCAUAACACCAACACUGGAGACAAUGUUCAUUCUCAUUCCCCUUAAAUUGUCAUAUGUGGCAAUCCUCCCUUUCCACGCCCUCCAUAAAAAGAAAGUAAUCUAAAAAGGCAAGCUUUUCAUUCAAAUCAUAUCAUAUGAUUCCUCCAUCUCCUUUUUCUUUCUCAUUAAAUCCCAAUAUGAUUUAACUGAAAAGAAACCCUUUGAGUUUUCCAUCCACCAAGGUUUAUCCCGAUCUCCUGUAUUCAUUACCGGAGAGAUAGAACUCACAAUGUGAUCAAUCAUUUCUUCAGAAAUAUACUGUAGGAGUUUCCUCCUAUCCCACUGAUUUCUAUAAUAAGAUUUUUCACCUCCAGCUCCUUCUCCCCCCUUUUAUUUUCUUCCACAUAGUACCAUGCCCCUUGUUUUGUCCAAUCAUCUUUCUCCAUACAUGAGAUGCCCCAUGUCUCUGUGCCAUUAUUGGAUGCCAUUUUUUUUACAAUAUUUGUUCCACAUAUAUUCACUCCACAAAGAAUUAGUGGAUGUUCUGAAUAUCCAUCAUAAUUUAGCAAAUAGAGCAUCUGAUACGUCAUGCAUCGAUCUAAAACCCUCUUAUUUUGGUAAGCACAUUGUUUCCCAAGCAAUCUAGUGUUUCCCUUUUACUCCUCUUAUGUGACCCCAAAAAAACUUUGCCAUAAUCUUAUGAAUCUGAUUUAUUACACCCUUGGGAGGAUUCAUAGCAGACAUAAGAUAAAUAGGCAUUGCUUGUAAAAUAUGAGCUAUUAAAACAUACAUUCCCCCAUAAGUCAAAAGUUGAUUCUGCCAUCCCAUCACUCUUUUGGCAACUUUCUUUAUCAGCUCUUCAAAAUAUGACUUCUUUCUUCUCCCGUAAAAAUUGGGCAUCCAAGAUACGUAAAAAGAAAGACUCCUUGUGAGAUUCCAGUAGUUCUUUUAAUCUUCUGACAAACUGAAGAAGGAACCUUUUCAUGCAGAUAUACAUAGCUUUUGUUCAGGUUUAUGAGCUGCCCUGACACAUAUUCAAAUCUCCGUAGAAUCUUCAUCAUUUUUUUCAUUGACCUCUUAUGCCAUGAAUAAUAAAGGAUUGUAUCAUCCCCAUAAGACAAAUGAUUAAUCUCUCUACUCCAUUUAGGCAUCCAAAUCUCUUGAAUUCUGAAUCCUCAUUUAGCCUGUUGAGACUUCUACCUAAUACAUACCUCCGCUGUUAUGAUGAAUAAAGUGGGGGAGAGGGGAUCACAUUGCUUCAGUCCCAAGAAGAUUGAAAAAACCAAAAGAUUGGCCAUUAAUUAACACGGAGUACCAGUUAUUAGAUAUUAAUCUCCACACCAUAUAAAUAAUCCUCUCAUCAAACCAAAAUCUUCUCAUAACUUGAAUAAAAAAUAUCCCUGACACCCUAUCAUACGCUUCAGUCAUAUCCAACUUCACCACAACGUUAUGGUAUUCAUUCCUCUUGUUUAUGUCUCUAAUUAUCUUUUGCCCUUGUAAAACAUUUUCAACAAUACUUCUUCCUUUCAUAAACCCCGACUGAUUUAGGCAGAACCCGAAUUAUUCUUUCAUGCAGUACCUUUGACAAAUCUUAUUAGCAAAAGAGCUCAAGCUGAUAGAUCAUAAAUUUGAUCUUCUCCGAAAUUAGAACUACAUUCGUGUGAGAAAUAUAUUGGUAUUUCCCCACCACAAAAAAUAACCAUCACCAUCAGCCUUAUAUCAUUCUUUAUAAUCUCCCAACAUGUUAGAAAAAAUUCUUCUAAAAAUCCAUUAGGCCCACAUAUGUUCACUUUAUUCAAGUUGAACACUGCUUCCUUAACUUCUUCCUCUGUAGGCGCUCUUGUCAUUUCGAUAUUCUAUUUUGUAGUUAUACUUCUUUCGAGCAUUGCUUGAUCCUCAUAUCAUUGACCCUCUUUAAAUUAUUCUCUAACAUUAACUACUUUCUCUCCUAUGUUUUGAGUGGUACGUAUCGUAUCCCCCGCUGUCUAAAUUUCGUUAAUCAUCGGUUUCCUCAUGCCUUUCACAUAUGAAUGAAAAAACUUCGUAUUUCUUUCUCCUUCUUUGAAUCAUGGCAUCCCAUUCUUUUGUUUCUAGUAAUUCUCUUCUAGUUGAUUAUAUUGUCUUAUAGAAUCUUCAACUUUAGCUAAAUCCUCUUUAUUUGCCAUUGAAGGGUUCAUUAGCAAUAUCCUCCAAAGUGGCUAUCGUCACAAAAAUAUUCCCAUAUAUUUCUUUACUCCACUGCAUCUCGCAUACACUGUUGUUAUGAUAAUAUCCAACUUCAAGAAGUCUUUUGCUCCAACUUCCAUCUUUUUUCAUCAUUUUUUAUCAAAUACUUGAUUGCUUGACUUCUUUAGCUCCAAGUUCUGAAAUUCACCAAUUUAAGUUAGUUUAGAUUAUUAAAUUAUACUAAGGACACUUAAAACUCAAGAAAAAAGGUAAUUCAUAUGUUGGUAAUUUGUCAACUUACCACUUAUAUGAGGCUUAUGACAUUGAGGAAAGAAAAAGAAAAGGCUCUCACAUCAAGUUUCUCUAGAAGCUCCUCAUUAGAAGAUGGGGGGUUGUUCAAGUAGUUCUUUCCCAACUUCAAGAAGUCUUUUGUUGCAUUCCUCCUCAAAACAGAAGCACGAGCCAGGGAAACCAUUUUCUUUUUUCACAGCACACAAAGAACAAGAAGAGCACUACAAUUUUGAAACCAGGUUUUAAGUCUCAAAAACCCAAAAGAAAUCACCAGAGAGUAAAGGGAAAAAUGGAAGUGCAGAAAGACCUAAAAGGUAACGUCAGAUACUAGUUUCUAAAGAAAAAGUAAGAGAGAAAGAGAAAAAGCAUGGGUUAAAUGAAAAAUGGAGCACAUACAUCAUAGGCAACACAUAUAUGUCAAUGAGUGAGUAGGCUAUUUGACAGAUGUGCGCUGCCUAUGGUGUAUGCGCUCCAUUUUUCAUAUAACCCCUUCUUUUCUCUCCAUCUCGCUUACUUGUUCUUUGUAAACUACUAUAUGGCGUUACCUUUUAGGUAUUUCUACACUUCCAUUUUUUCCUUUGCUCUCUGGUGAAUUCUUUUGGGGUUUUGAGACUUAAAACCUGGUUUCAAAAUUGCGGUUCUCUUCUUGUUCUUUGUCUGCUGUGAAAAAAUGAAAUGGUUUCCCUGACACGUGCUUCUGUUUCUGAGUAGGAAUGUAACAAAAUACUUCUUGAAGUUGGCAAAUAGCUGCUUCAGCAUCCCCAUCUUCCAAAGAGGAGCUUCUGGAGAAGCUUGAUGUGCGAGCCUUUUCUUUUUCUUUCCUCAAUGUCAUAAGCCUUGUAUAAGACGUAAGUUGACAAACUUACCAACAUAUGAAUUACCUUUUUUUCUUGAGUUCUUAGUGUCUUUGAGUAUAAUUUAAUAACCUAAACUAACUUAAAUUGGUGAAUUUCAGGACUUGGAGCUAAAGAAGUCAAGCAAUCAAGUAUUUGAUCAAGAAUGAUGAAAAAAAUGGAAGUUGGAGCAAAAGAAUAAUAAAAGUAGAGAUUGAGAAGUCAUAAAAAUCGUGCCCAAGUUUAGUUUUCGUGGAGCUGUUUAUGAGGGUAGAAGAGCUUGAAUUUGGCCAAGUCUGAAAAAGGAACAAGUCUGUCUCACUCCACGAAUGAAAAUGGGGAGACGAAAAUUGGAAUGUCUCCACGAUUUUGCCCCAUGAAAUUGGCAGCGGAAGGUCAUCUUUGUCCAGAUUUUGAGAGUUAUUUAAAUAUAUAUUAGACCAUUUUUCUUGGGGAGCUGUUGAUUUGAGCAGUCUAGGAGGAGUAUCUCUAGUUAACUUUGCAAGGAUUAAGAGAUUUUCACUAUAGAGUUUGCAUCUUCUUAUUUGUUUAAUCUUGAACUAUGUUUAUUAUUAUAUUGUAUUUUCUUCUUCUAGUAUGAGUAGCUAAACCUAUUAGUUGUAGACUUUUAUGUGAUUGAAUACUAGGUUAUCUUGCUUAUUAUUAUUUGGGUUGUGAUUAUCUACUCGUUUACAGUCUUAUUUGUGAGGUUGCAAACACUAGAUUUAGCCCUAUAUAUUCAUUUCUUGCUCGGAAGGGUGACACUUGAAUUGGAUCUAGCAUUGAUUUUCAGAUCAAUAUUAUCCAUAAAUGGUGGUAAAUAUAUACAAUUUGAUUUAUAAUGGAUUGUAACGUUUGUUUUGAUUAUAUAUGAAACCUACAAUUAAAAUACCAUAAUUU